RNAcentral lists this ribosomal RNA (1535 nucleotides) under Streptomyces sp. PVA_94-07. Lineage: Bacteria; Bacillati; Actinomycetota; Actinomycetes; Kitasatosporales; Streptomycetaceae. The record is from RNAcentral.
UGAGCCGGGCCGCGAUCGCCGCCUUCUCCUUCUUCUCCUUCUUCUUCACCGCCGUGAAGGAGACGUCCUCGCGGACCAUCUGGAAGACGGACUGCGCCUUAGGGUCGUCCAGCACCACCGUCACCGGGGUCGGCUCGGCCGGGUUGUCCUUCACCGGCACGGUGGCGAACGUCAGGUUCUUGGGGUCGAGUUUGCCCAGCUCCAUGCCGAGGUCGCGGAGCUUGGAGAUGUCGGCCAGCGUCGAGUCGACGGUCAGCGCCUUGGUGCCCGCCUCGGCGAGGGAGAACAUCUUGGUUGGGCUGGUCAGCGUGUCGUUCGAACUCAGCUUGCGCAUCAGGGAGCUGAGGAACUGCUGCUGGAUCUCGAUCCGGCUGAGAUCGCCGCCGAAGCCCACCGAGUGCCGGGUGCGGACGAAGGCCAGCGCGUCCUCACCCUCGAUGGUGUGGGUGCCCUUGGAGAGCUUGAGGUGCGAGUCCGGGUCGUCGAUGUCCUUGGCGAGGCAGACCUCGACCCCGCCGACGGCCGUGGUGAGGGUCUUCACCGCGUUGAAGUCGGCCACCAUGAAGUGGUCCAUCUUUAUGCCGGUCAGCUCGGUGACCGUCCGCAUGGUGCAGCUGGGGGUGCGCUCGCUCUGGCCGAGGCUCUCGUUGAACUUGGUGUUCUGCUUGCCCGGGAUGACCGUCUCGGUGCCGUCCUCCUGCUGUGUGGGGCAGUCGGGGAUGUCGGUGAUCAGGUCGCGCGGGAUGCUGAGCGCGGUCGCGUUGGAACGGUCCUUGGAGACGUGCAGGACGAAGGUGGUGUCGGCGUGGCCGGGGCUGUCCUUGUCGCCGUACCCCUCGUUGCCCUCGCCGGAGCGCUUGUCGGUGCCGAUCAGCAGGACGUUGAUGGCCCGGUCCUUGCUGAAACCGCCGGUGCCCGCGCCGUCGUCGGCGACCGAGUUGAUGUUGUCCUUCAGGUGCUCCAGGUACGCGUAGGCCGAGGCGGCCAGCGCCACCAUCACGAAGGCCAGCACGCCGCCGGUCCACAGCAGGACCUUCUUCUUGCCCUUCUUCUGCUGCUGGCCGCGCCCCUUGCGCCCGCCCGCGCGGCGCGCGGCGGCACGCCCCGGAGGCGGCUCGGGCUCGGCGCCCCGGCGCGUGCGCUGCCCCGGGACCGUCUCACGGGACGGCCGGGAGCCGGGCUCCGGGUCCUCGUGGUCGGGGGCGGGCCGGCGCGGGCGGUCCUGGCCGGGCUGCGGGUGCUCACGGUCGGGAGCCCGGCGGGAGCGCGGAACGGAGCCCCGCCGCCCAUUGCCGGGCGGUCGCCCAUCGGAGGGGCUCAGUCGCAAUUCGUAAUCGCCGGUAUCCGGGUUGAGUACCCACUGGUCUGCGGGGUCGAUAUUCUCCGCCCGCCCACGGCCUUGCGCGUCCACGGUUGUCCGAAUCCUCCGUCAGGGCCACGCGGCGCCUCGGGUCCCCUCCCCGCAAGGCGCUCAUUCGGUCGGUCCGUCAGUCUCCGGCGGCCGUGUCGGGCUCGCCGGAUCGCUCACACUAUCC